Molecule: ribosomal RNA, 206 nt
Filed under: uncultured bacterium
Lineage: Bacteria
Description: partial 16S ribosomal RNA
Rfam family: Bacterial small subunit ribosomal RNA
Source: RNAcentral
UCUCAGUUCGGAUUGGAGCUGNAACCCGACUCCAUGAAGCUGGAUUCGCUAGUAAUCGCGCAUCAGCCACGGCGCGGUGAAUACGUUCCCGGGCCUUGUACACACCGCCCGUCAAGCCAUGGAAGCCGGGAGUGCCUGAAGUACGCGACCGCAAGGAGCGUCCUAAGGUAAAACCGGUGACUGGGGCUAAGUCGUAACAAGGUAGC